Molecule: ribosomal RNA, 252 nt
Filed under: uncultured bacterium
Lineage: Bacteria
Description: partial 16S ribosomal RNA
Rfam family: Bacterial small subunit ribosomal RNA
Source: RNAcentral
UACGUAGGGCGCAAGCGUUGUCCGGAAUUAUUGGGCGUAAAGAGCUCGUAGGCGGUUUGUCGCGUCUGUCGUGAAAGCUUGGGGCUUAACCCCAAGUCUGCGGUGGAUACGGGCAGACUAGAGGCAGGUAGGGGAGAACGGAAUUCCCGGUGUAGCGGUGAAAUGCGCAGAUAUCGGGGGAACACCGGUGGCGAAGGCGGUUCUCUGGGCCUGUACUGACACUGAGGAGCGAAAGCGUGGGUAGCAAACAGG